AUCACAUCAAGUAGUCAAUGUUUGUUCCAUUUGACAUUCCGAAUUGUUUUCGUAUCUGGAAAUUAGAAAUGGAUUGUGAGGCUCAGGAUGAUUUGUUUCGCUGGCAUUUUGGCGCUUGUUUAUCAGCGAUAGAAAAAAAAAGUUCCGGAAAUUGAAAACAGCCGGAUUUGAAGAAUUUGAUUGUCACCGUUUCUAGAUGCGAUGUUUCAAGACCGAUGGCCAUCCAAGGGACAGAUCCUACAUACGGAACCUAGAAAAUCAGUGUUUCUGUUUCAAGAUUACGGUCUAUGAACAAAGAUUUAGACAGGAUUCUGAUAGGGUAGGAUUCAUGUGUGGUUAGUUCUGUUUUCAGGACUCCUUUCUUCUGAAAGGCUUAAGCAAAAUAGGGCACCCCGUAUUCGAACAGCCCAAGAAGAGAAGACCCGGGUGAUGAAAAAGUUUACCAAAGAAUAGUUU
Long non-coding RNA from Uranotaenia lowii, 456 nucleotides. RefSeq lists it as uncharacterized. The transcript has 3 exons. The record is from RefSeq and is a predicted model, not a curated record. NCBI's taxonomy places the organism in Eukaryota, Metazoa, Arthropoda, Insecta, Diptera, Culicidae.